This 552-nucleotide ribosomal RNA is filed under the name uncultured bacterium. RNAcentral's name for it is "partial 16S ribosomal RNA". It matches the Rfam family "Bacterial small subunit ribosomal RNA", at positions 355 to 902 of the family's 1533-position model. The record is from RNAcentral.
UGGGGAAUUUUGGACAAUGGGCGAAAGCCUGAUCCAGCAAUGCCGCGUGUGUGAAGAAGGCCUUCGGGUUGUAAAGCACUUUUGUCCGGAAAGAAAUCCUUGGCUCUAAUACAGUCGGGGGAUGACGGUACCGGAAGAAUAAGCACCGGCUAACUACGUGCCAGCAGCCGCGGUAAUACGUAGGGUGCAAGCGUUAAUCGGAAUUACUGGGCGUAAAGCGUGCGCAGGCGGUUUGCUAAGACCGAUGUGAAAUCCCCGGGCUCAACCUGGGAACUGCAUUGGUGACUGGCAGGCUAGAGUAUGGCAGAGGGGGGUAGAAUUCCACGUGUAGCAGUGAAAUGCGUAGAGAUGUGGAGGAAUACCGAUGGCGAAGGCAGCCCCCUGGGCCAAUACUGACGCUCAUGCACGAAAGCGUGGGGAGCAAACAGGAUUAGAUACCCUGGUAGUCCACGCCCUAAACGAUGUCAACUAGUUGUUGGGGAUUCAUUCCUUAGUAACGUAGCUAACGCGUGAAGUUGACCGCCUGGGGAGUACGGUCGCAAGAUUAAACUC